GCCUUCGUGGUGUAAUUGGAAGCACGUUCGGCUGGCAAUCGGGAGGACCAGAGUUCGAAUCCCGGUGAGUGUA
Molecule: transfer RNA, 73 nt
Filed under: Stegodyphus mimosarum
Lineage: Eukaryota; Metazoa; Arthropoda; Arachnida; Araneae; Eresidae
Rfam family: tRNA
About the family: Transfer RNA (tRNA) molecules are approximately 80 nucleotides in length. Their secondary structure includes four short double-helical elements and three loops (D, anti-codon, and T loops).
Source: Rfam by way of RNAcentral